Long non-coding RNA from Equus quagga, 2596 nucleotides. RefSeq lists it as uncharacterized. Lineage: Eukaryota; Metazoa; Chordata; Mammalia; Perissodactyla; Equidae. The transcript has 3 exons. The record is from RefSeq and is a predicted model, not a curated record.
GUCCCAGGCAUUACUGGUGUUUUUUCAAAGCUUCCCAGGCAUUUAUAACAUGAAUCCAGGUUAAGAACCAUUGCCUUAAAGCAUCGACCACACAUACGCUUUCAUGGUUUCUGUUGUUUCUUUUGAGAAGUUGGCUGUCAGUUUUGCUGUCUCUUUGAAGGUGUACAUCAUUAAUUCUCAAUUUCCGUGUAGACUACAUCAUGUUCACCCCUCAAAGACUAACUACCAUGCAUCACCAUACACAUGUGCCCUGAUGCCCCUUUCAUCGUCCUCCCUCCCCGCUUCCACUCUGGUGACCACCAAUCCAAUCUCUGUCUCUAUGUGUUUCAAGGGACAAAUUGACAAAGAAGAUGUACUAUACAUACACGAUGGAAUACUACUCAGUUAUAAAAAGAGAUGAAACCUUGCCAUUAGCGACAACAUAGACGGACCUUGAGCGUAUUCUGCUAAGUGAAAUAAGUCAGAGGAAGAAAGUCAAAUACUGUAUGAUCUCACUCAUAAACAGAAGAUAAAAACAACAACAAACAAACGUAUUUCUUUAUCCUUAAAGUUCAGUAACUUCUCUACGUUGUGUACUAAUUUUUCUUGGCACUACGCAUGGUUUGUUUUUUUUGUCUACAGAUUCAAAUCUUUAUGUCAAGAAAGUUCCUUCUAGUAUAUUUUUGAAUAUUUUUGUUGCUUCUUUUUUUCCAUGUUCUUUAUGAACAUGAAGUAUUCUGUAUAUUUUACACGUAUAUUGUCUUCUCUAUAAAUUAUAGAUAGCUUCAUUUUUUCAUUUUCUUUGUAUAUUUUUCUAUAUACUGUCUUAUAUCUUGUUUCAUUUUAUAUUGUCCGUAUUCUAUUUUUAUUAUUUCACUAUGAUUUUCCUCUAUGUAAUGUUUUUCUUUUCUCUUCCAACUUGCUUCAUCAAUUUGCUUAUUAUCUUCCAUUGUUUUUUAAUCUCUUCUUAUUAUCUCUCAUUGAGCAUUUUUAAGUUUUAAAAUUUCUUUGAAAUUAUAACUACUUGAAUUAUUUAUUUUUUUCUAUAGUUAGUUAUCUUCCUCUUUUUUGCCUUCUCUUCCUCUCCCUAGGCCCCUCUCCCCCAGACUCCCCUUGAGCCCCCUUGCCCCACUCCUCUCUUCUUUCUCUCUGGUCUGUGUUUUAUGUUGGUUCUUUUCUGAUGAUUAUAUAUCUCUGCUUGGGGCCAGGUAUUCUUGUUUUUUAAAGCUUCAGUGCAUAGUUGUGUAUCUGGUUGUUAGUUUUAGUUCUCUAUGUGAGCUGGCAUCAGAGUAUGACAACUGACAGAUGGGUGGUGUGGUUCCACGACCGGAAAUGAAUGAAUCCAGGCUGCGGUGGUGAGAGCACCGAAUCUUAACCAGUAGACCACCAGGGCUGGCUCCCAGGUAUUCUCAAUGAAUAGAAUGGGAAGAGAUGGGAAAUGAACUUGGAAAGCUCACAGCUUCAGUUCAGUUUAUUCUUCUAAAACUCCUCUCCAGAUCUUAUCUUCCCUUUGCUGCUGAGGCUCAUCUCACCUCAAUUUUAGCCAUCAAGAGGUUGAAGUGGCUGGUGGGAAAUCUUCCCCUUCCUCCUAGGCUCUCUGUUACCUCCUAAUCUCCAUCACUCAGGAAGAGAGGCUGUAGAAAAAACUGGAAGGGCAACGUGACUUUUCCUUCAGCUUUGCCUCCCUGCUACCUGGUUGUGCCAAGCAGGAUCUCUAUGGCAACAUCGCCCACUUCUCUUGUGCUGGCACAUGGCUGUGGAUUUGAUUGCUCUGAUCAAAGGAACACUGGACAGACCUUUUGGAACUUUGAUGCUCACUUACAGGGAAACCUGUGUCUUGCUGGAAGUCCAAGGGCAAAGAUGUUGGAUGUCAAUGCCUUCUCUCAUUGCAGUUUGAAUUGUAAGCUGGACUUACCAUGUUUUUCAUGAAAUAAGGACUGACAAACUGGGUCAGUUUGGGGUUUCAGACUUGGAUAUUUGCCAGCAUUUUUUUUCAAAAAUGAAUGAAGUGAGCCUGUCAUAUAGAGGAAAAUAACUGACACUAUCUGUUGACCACAAAAUUCAAGCUUUCAAGAGAAAAUUAGAACUUUCAAAAUCUUGUAUCUACCACUACGAAUUUGACAGUUUCUCAACACAUAGAUACUUUUCUGAUGAGAUUGGUGGUUUUAGCAAAUGUGAUUUUUUGAUAUCACACAAUACUUGUAACAUGUGCAUAACUGAAUAAAUCAAUGUUUUCCAAAUCACCACCAAUCAUGCAUGCUACAAAAUCAUGCAUGGGGCAAAAUUCCAUUCAAAGUGCAAGGGAAAUCAAUGGAUUUUAAUGUAACAGAGUAUUAACUGAGUCAUUGAUAUAGUUUGGCAUUAUACGUUGCAAUUAACCUUUAAGAAACUACCACUUAUUGAGUUUUGGUAUAAUAUCAAAGAAGAAUAUCUAGAAUUAUCUGGAAAUCCUUUUAAAAUAACUUCCCUUUUACAACUGUAAUCAGUUUGAGGCCAUAUUUUCUUCAGAUAUUUUAACCAAAACAAUAUAGAGUGAUCGAUGGAGAAUCCAGCUGUCUCCUAUUAAGCCAGACAUCAAAGAGAUCUGCAAAACUGUGAGACAGGCUACACUUCUCAU